This 603-nucleotide ribosomal RNA is filed under the name Lodderomyces parapsilosis. Its description in RNAcentral is "eukaryotic LSU rRNA". It matches the Rfam family "Eukaryotic large subunit ribosomal RNA", at positions 46 to 660 of the family's 3401-position model. Lineage: Eukaryota; Fungi; Ascomycota; Pichiomycetes; Serinales; Debaryomycetaceae. The record is from RNAcentral.
UUUAGCGGAGGAAAGGAAACCAACAGGGAUUGCCUUAGUAGCGGCGAGUGAAGCGGCAAAAGCUCAAAUUUGAAAUCUGGCACUUUCAGUGUCCGAGUUGUAAUUUGAAGAAGGUAUCUUUGGGUCUGGCUCUUGUCUAUGUUUCUUGGAACAGAACGUCACAGAGGGUGAGAAUCCCGUGCGAUGAGAUGUCCCAGACCUAUGUAAAGUUCCUUCGAAGAGUCGAGUUGUUUGGGAAUGCAGCUCUAAGUGGGUGGUAAAUUCCAUCUAAAGCUAAAUAUUGGCGAGAGACCGAUAGCGAACAAGUACAGUGAUGGAAAGAUGAAAAGAACUUUGAAAAGAGAGUGAAAAAGUACGUGAAAUUGUUGAAAGGGAAGGGCUUGAGAUCAGACUUGGUAUUUUGUAUGUUACUCUCUCGGGGGUGGCCUCUACAGUUUACCGGGCCAGCAUCAGUUUGGGCGGUAGGACAAUUGCAAAGAAAUGUGGCACCUGCCUCGGUAAGUGUGUUAUAGUGCUUUGUCGAUAGCUGCCAGCCCUAGACUGAGGACUGCGGCUUCGGCCUAGGAUGUUGGCAUAAUGAUCUUAAGUCGCCCGUCUUGAACC